Molecule: long non-coding RNA, 1500 nt
Filed under: Musa acuminata (dwarf banana)
Lineage: Eukaryota; Viridiplantae; Streptophyta; Magnoliopsida; Zingiberales; Musaceae
Description: long non-coding RNA (MACU_LNC008016)
Source: RNAcentral
AUCUGUAAGAGUGUGAACUACUUGUAAAAAGGUUGUAAGAGGGGUAUUCGGUCCUUCCCUUUCAAAGUGAUUUGCUAGUGGAAGUUGGGAGCCUCAUCGAAGAAGGCUUCGCAAGUGGAUGUAGGUCAUUUGACCGAACCACUUUACAUUGUGGUGUUCCUUGAAUGUGUGAGUGUUUAAUUUUUUGAACCACUUAUCUUCUUAGCAGCAAACUAUUCGGUUUUCUUCUUGUUGAAUCUCGUAUUUUGAUGAUGAAACUACUUGAUAUAUGUUUAUGAUUUAAUCUGCGUUUUGAGUGACGCAGGAUGCUUUGAUCAGAAUGAGACAAUUAAAGCAGGAAAAUCAUGUUGUGCCGAAGGAACAUGUCAGAAGAUUGGACGUUGGGCCGGUGGAUCGGUCGAUGUAUCGACAGAAGGCUUCGGGCCGUGGACUCGGGCAUCGGGCCAAGAAGAGCGGGUAUUGCGCCAAGGAUAUCGGAGUUGCAGAGUCAACUGGCCGAUUGGGCAAUAGGCCGCAGGAGAGGACGAUGAGCCGAAGAAUCGGACGAAGCGUCGAGGGACCAAUGACAUGUCGGACAACUUGGUUAAUUGCUUAGGAUUAAUUGUCUCGAUCGAAGUUUUGUUUUAAUUGUGCAGGAUUAACGAUGAUAACGAUGAAGACAUAAAGCGAAACAAAGUGUCGGAGUCAAGCGCGAAGGAUUUGUUGCGAGUUCGAGAGUUCGACGGAAGUCUGAAGGUUCGUUGGGAGUUCGCGCAGCUCGCCAAGAAAGAUAGGAGCUUGCCGGGGAGUCCGCAUAAUGGUUUCCGAGAGUUCAUCGGAAGACCGCCGGAAGUUUGCCGGAAGCUCGCCAGAAGAAGUCUUGACUUGCGGACUUUGUAAUGGUUUAGAAAAUGUCUUUAAAAUCAUAGUUAGCACGUUAAUUAGGGUUAGGAUUAGGUGUUAAUCCUAUAACCCAAGUAGGGGCCAAUUAGGCCCAAGUUCGGACUGGUUUGGGCCAAGUUUGGAGCCAAACCAAGUGAUUUGAAAUAGUGAAAGAGGUGGCACCGCCCCAGCCAGGAGGUAGCACCGCCCAGGCUAUGUCUCCCAGCGAGACUGGGAGGUGCAACCGCCCCAGCCAGGAGGUGGCACCGCCUGGGGCUCAGUCUUCGAGCAAGACUGGGCGGUGCAACCUCCCUGACAGAGAGGUGGCAGCGCCUGAGCUCGGUCUUCGAGCUCUGNNNNNNNNNNNNNNNNNNNNAAGGUAGUUGGCCUUCGCCUAUUGAAGGAAGGCUUCUAGUUGACGUCGGUAACCUCAUCGGUGGAGGAAGCCAAAAGUGGAGUAGGUCAAGACUGACCGAACCACUCUAAAUCUCUGGUUUGCGUUUAUUUUGAGCACUUUAUCAUUACUGCAAACCUCCUACAUAGCUACUGCUCUCUGCGCUUUUACGAACGAGUUCUGUGCAGUUUACGUUCACAUCUUAAUUCCAUUUACAAACUGCAAAUUGCUCUCUGCGCUUUUAC